This 255-nucleotide unclassified non-coding RNA is filed under the name uncultured Patescibacteria group bacterium. Its description in RNAcentral is "contains 16S-23S intergenic spacer region". It matches the Rfam family "Bacterial small subunit ribosomal RNA", at positions 524 to 776 of the family's 1533-position model. The record is from RNAcentral.
UACGUAGGAUCCGAGCGUUAUCCGGAGUGACUGGGCGUAAAGAGUUGCGUAGGCGGACAAGUUAGCGAAUAGUGAAAUCAGGUGGCUCAACCAUACUGGCUAUUAUCCGAACUGCUUGUCUCGAGAGUAGUAGAGGUACCUGGAAUUCCCUGUGUAGCGGUGAAAUGCGUAGAUAUAGGGAGGAACACCAAUGGCGUAGGCAGGGUACUGGACUAUUUCUGACGCUGAGGCACGAAAGCGUGGGGAGCGAACCGG